Molecule: ribosomal RNA, 253 nt
Filed under: uncultured bacterium
Lineage: Bacteria
Description: partial 16S ribosomal RNA
Rfam family: Bacterial small subunit ribosomal RNA
Source: RNAcentral
UACGUAGGGGGCAAGCGUUGUCCGGAUUUAUUGGGCGUAAAGAGCGUGUAGGCGGCCAGACAGGUCCGUUGUGAAAACUCGAGGCUCAACCUCGAGACGCCGAUGGAAACCGUCUGGCUAGAGUCCGGAAGAGGAGAGUGGAAUUCCUGGUGUAGCGGUGAAAUGCGCAGAUAUCAGGAAGAACACCUAUGGCGAAGGCAGCUCUCUGGGACGGUACUGACGCUGGGACGCGAAAGCGUGGGGAGCGAACAGG